RNAcentral lists this ribosomal RNA (390 nucleotides) under uncultured Sphingobacteriales bacterium. Its description in RNAcentral is "bacterial SSU rRNA". It matches the Rfam family "Bacterial small subunit ribosomal RNA", at positions 992 to 1382 of the family's 1533-position model. Lineage: Bacteria; Pseudomonadati; Bacteroidota; Sphingobacteriia; Sphingobacteriales. The record is from RNAcentral.
UGACUGUAGGUGAAAGACUUACAUCUCUUCGGAGCAUUUUACGAGGUGCUGCAUGGUUGUCGUCAGCUCGUGCCGUGAGGUGUCGGGUUAAGUCCCAUAACGAGCGCAACCCCUACCUUUAGUUGCCAUCAGGUUAAGCUGGGGACUCUAAAGGAACUGCCUACGCAAGUAGUGAGGAAGGCGGGGAUGACGUCAAAUCAGCACGGCCCUUACGUCCAGGGCUACACACGUGCUACAAUGGCCGAUACAGAGGGCAGCUACCUGGUGACAGGAUGCAAAUCUCCAAAGUCGGUCUCAGUUCGGAUCGGAGUCUGCAACCCGACUCCGUGAAGUUGGAUUCGCUAGUAAUCGCGCAUCAGCCAUGGCGCGGUGAAUACGUUCCCGGGCUUU